GACAUAGGAUGCAAGCGUUGUCCGGAUUUAUUGGGCGUAAAGAGUUCGUAGGCGGUUUGUUAAGUCUGAUGUUAAAGACCGGGGCUCAACCUCGGAAAUGCAUUGGAUACUGGCAGACUGGAGUGCAGUAGAGGCUAGUGGAAUUCCCAGUGUAGCGGUGAAAUGCGUAGAUAUUGGGAAGAACACCGGUGGCGUAGGCGACUAGCUGGGCUGUAACUGACGCUGAGGAACGAAAGCCAGGGGAGCAAAUGGG
RNAcentral lists this ribosomal RNA (253 nucleotides) under uncultured prokaryote. RNAcentral's name for it is "partial 16S ribosomal RNA". It matches the Rfam family "Bacterial small subunit ribosomal RNA", at positions 524 to 776 of the family's 1533-position model. The record is from RNAcentral.